This is a long non-coding RNA of Anguilla anguilla (European eel), 1409 nucleotides long. RefSeq lists it as uncharacterized. The record is from RefSeq and is a predicted model, not a curated record. NCBI's taxonomy places the organism in Eukaryota, Metazoa, Chordata, Actinopteri, Anguilliformes, Anguillidae. The transcript has 2 exons.
CACGCCCCUUCGAGGCAGGACGACAGUAUCCAUAUUUGGAUUCUCUUCGGGGGCGGUUGCAAGGCAACAGGACAGCCUCCGAGGAGAGGGCGGCUUCCCGCAGAAGGUGUGUGUGACUGUACACCACGUACACUGCAUUCCAGGCCCUGAUGCUGUGGGCUAGUCUGUUUAUUCUGCUGGGCUGUGUCUGCAGGGUACCACACUGCAGUUUCUCCAUUCUACUCUGCUGGUGUGCACAGUGACGAUACUACAGAGAAAAUCCAUCUAUCCAUCCGUCCAUCCAUUUGUCCAUCCAUCCAUCCAUCCAUUAUCUAAUCUAUUCAUUCCUGGUCAGGGGGGCUGGAGACUAUCCCAGCAUGCUCUGUCCUGGACAAGUCGCCAAUCCAUCGCAGGGCAUACUACAGGCUAAAUCCAUUUCCUUCUGAAUUAGUUUAAGUUUGUAUGAAAGAAGAAUUACUGGACAAAAUAGUCACGUGUAUCAUAUGGUUCACUCCGUGUUGUGUAGCGGCGUGAAACAAAAUCCAAAAUGCAGUCCCCUUCUGGUCCUAUGGACGCUUGACCAAUAAACAUUGCACCUGGAAUUUCCUCACAUCUGAUUAAAUAAUACGGACAUCCACUGCCCUUGAGCAAAACUCACACAAAUCACAUGACGUCAGCCAGGAAAUAAUCCCACACAAGAACAAAAUACCAUAUUUGUGUUCCCCCCCCCACUUCCACAUCCUGCUGUACUGUAUAGCAUUGUCCGACAGGGUCAGUGCAUAUGGGUCUCAGAGAAACCACCCUCUCUGUGCUCUGCCAGCUUCUCAACCUUUUCUUAAACGUAUUGCCAGUUUGCCACGCAGCUGUGGCGCUUAAUGGACUUAGUGUGCUGGUCCCCACGUAGACCGCAAAGCACCAGUGUGGGGACUUUCAGUGUGCUACGAAUACAGUGUGUGAGCAACACGUGUGUGUGCGGAAACUCACUCAUAUACACAUGCACUCACACAGACUUGUAUGAAUUAAUUUUUUGUAUUGCCAGAGGAGAAGCCUAGCAUUGUAAAGAGGUCUAUGAGACGGGCAAGCGCAGACGUAACUGAGACGACUGCAGUCUGUGCCUCUCGGGCAUCCAUCACUGCGGACAGCGACUGAUCACUCCACCCAUAUUGCUCCAUCUGUCAGAAUGUCAGAACAUUAACACAUCGUGAAAAGUACUGUGUGAGUAAUGCUGCUUUCCCUUCAUAAAAAUAAAUGUAGUUAAAAAAGCACAAAAGGCAGGCGAUACAGUGAAAUGGAAUUAUACUCCCCAAGUUUCCCUUUGACCCCCAUGAUUGACCAUAUUAUCCUGUCAGUUGGGAUUAUUUUACAGUUGAAGAGGCAGGGAGUGCGUGUUAAUGGCUACCUUGAAAACAGAGAGGCUUCCGUCAUAAAAC